Podarcis lilfordi (Lilford's wall lizard) is the source of this 260-nucleotide non-coding RNA. Lineage: Eukaryota; Metazoa; Chordata; Lepidosauria; Squamata; Lacertidae. The record is from the annotation of a GenBank genome assembly.
GUCACGGGAAAUCGGCCUCCGGGUGGGAGAUCUGGCCUGUCUUGCAGGAUUGGCCCAGCGCAGAGGGGCUGAGGGACUUUCUCUGCCGGUGCUGCCAGCCUCGCUCCCGCCUGGCCUCAUCCCCAUCCAGGUUGCCAGGAGGGUCUUCUGACACUAAAGGUCUUCUAAAGCCCACCACCUGGGCAAUGCUCACACCAGAACCCUGCAAGGUGGGCCAGGAUGACAGCCAGAUUGAUGGGCAGGGCCAGAAGACAGAGUUG